This 8708-nucleotide long non-coding RNA is filed under the name Salmo salar (Atlantic salmon). RNAcentral's name for it is "lncRNA (ENSSSAG00000084301.1)". The record is from RNAcentral. Lineage: Eukaryota; Metazoa; Chordata; Actinopteri; Salmoniformes; Salmonidae.
UGGAGUGCCAAGCCAGGCAUCCACAGUCUACCAUCUUCGGGGUGAAAUGGUGAAGACGAGUUCCAGGUAGUGCGAAUAGCCCCGGCUUUAAUUUUUCUACUUUCUCUCUCUAGGCGGCCCUUGUGUCAUGCUCAAUCCGCCACAGAAGAAGUGGGAGUGGAGCAUGGUUCUCUUAUUCUGCUUGGUAUGAUGAGGAGCUUUCACUGAAGACUGGAGUUCCCCGGUUGUUUUUCCUUCAGUCGCCAGGCAAUGGAAUACCUCUCAGAAGAAGUGGUGAAAAGAAAGGGGUUGAACGAUCCCUUCUCUGUGGCUACCCUAGAGGAUUCAGGAGCCCUAGAAAAACAUGGCAGCUGGAGCAGAGCAGGGAGUGGAUCAGUUACACAGGUACAGCAGCCAUGUUGCUAAAGCGCAGAGCUGCCGGGCUGUGGGAGUCAUGAGGCGGCCCUGCUUCACUCAGUAUGGGCUCAGGGGGAGACCACCAUGGAUGUGUCUGCAGGUCUAGGCCCUAAGAGCAGUGCGGGGGAAAGGGGUAGCGAGCAAAGGACCAGCGUUCAGCGAGGAGCAUGAGCGGCAGUACGCUGAAGUAGGAGCACUAGCUCUUGUGAAAAAUCUGCGGACUAGGGGGCUAGUAAAGAGGGAGAGAUGCCCAGAGAGCAUACAGCUGUUUCGGUCGAGCGAGAGCGAGUUCUCCGGCGGCUGAAGAGUGGUUCUUGAAUCGGACAGAUGAUGUUCCAUCCUCUUUUCUGCCAAUCACCCAAAGAUGAGGACAACACCCAAACUGGCACGAUAACAGCACUGUAUAAGAAGAGGACCCAAUGGUUCCAAAAGGCCUGGUGUUGCUCUUCCGCCGUCCGCCCAGAGUCUGCCGCAGCUAUUUGGACAGCAACAGGUGAAAAGGUGAGAGGAGGUUGCUGAAAUCCAUAUGACCAAGACACACCUGUCUGUCCAGGAGACGGAUACCUCACCAGAUAUGGUGUCUUUCUGACAUUCUUGAUGCACAUCCAAUGAUGAGUGGGUGAUGGAGGUCCCUCUGCUGUAACCCUGACCUCCAGAGCAUAAUGACCGCUCCAAAGACAGGACCUAAGGAAAGAUGAGUCAAAUGAAACCCAUCUAGACACCACUGCUUCUGCUGCAAACAUGAUGGCAUGAUCUGUCUCUGUGAAGACAAAAACUAUGUACCUGUUGUGCAAUUCUCAGAUCAUAUGGUUCAUUUUGAAACGGUUAAACUGAAACAGUGAAACGUUUUACCAAUAGAGGUUACGCUGCUUAUGAUAUGAACUGUAUCGUCCGUUGAUGUAUUAUAUUUCAUGAUGUUACAUAUCUUCAAUAAAUGUAUUGGUGUAUUUGGUAGAAAUAUUGAGCAUUACAAUAUUUGGAAACUGGGGUAGGGAGUUCACAACCAGAGCUGGGGAAGGUAAUUGCAGGUUUUUGUUCCAGCCCUCCAGGACAGAGAAUACCCCCCUACACACACCAUUUGCCGCUGUAGGUUUAGAGAUCUACAGAUGGCCUCUGUAAAUAUCUGAAUAAGGCUAGCCUCUACCGUGUAAAUGAUAACACCAUUUCUGGUCAUAAUUUAUCUAAAUUCAGGACAUUGUGGGGUAACUCUAUCCUCCAGUAUGGUGUGUGUUAUCGUAUAUUGUUCAUGUUGUAUCACUGCAACCCUCAGGUGAUGAAACGGUCUGCCCUCUCUCGCUCUCCUUUUUCUCCAAGCUCCCAGGACAGCUUUCAGCCAUGGAUAUUCAUCCCCUUUAUUUAAAACACACACGUUCCACUGCCUACCGGUCAUUCAUCACUGCCAACUAGAGUGGGUAUGUGUGGCCAUUUAGGCUUAUUGAUUAGCCAUAUCAUUCACAGAUAUCUCUCUCAAGUAUUUACUGUGUACAUCAGCAAACAGGAACCACACAGUAAGUGGAUAUACCUCCUCACUCACACUUGAAUAUCCUCUGAGAAGAACCCAAGCAGGAAGCGUUCUCUCUGGGGGUGUCAAGUCAAGCCCAGGAGAUGGUCAGCAUCAUGACACUAAGGAAGACCCUUGAGAACCAAUCGAAGGCCCAUCUGUGUUCAGCACAGAGUGAAUCCUGUGUUUCCAGGUUUAAACUGAACGUUAUUAAAACAAGUGGGCCGAAAGGUCAGGAGAGAGCAGCCCACAAAAACAAACAAUUCAUUUGGCAUGGAGGUGUAAUGGGAUGAGAUGUGGGCUGGGGCCGGGCCUAUUGUUCUGCUGGAAUUAACCGUGGCAGGUCAUGUGUCACUGGGCACUGACCCCGGCCCCAUUCAGGAGCCCAAACUCUGCAUUAGCCACGGCCCAAAGAGAGGUCAAACAUAGUCACAAACCAGGCACACACACAGCCAGUUCUGACCAGGGCAGCACUUACAAAACAAAGAGGGGUAUUACCAUGCGGUGGUUGUGACACUGGCGGCAUCAAAGCCUUUGUGACUCAUCCGUUGGCCUGAAUCUGUUGGACUGGUGCAUAUUGGAGACAUUAAGCAUGAACGACAUACACCUAAAUACUCCUAUUUCAUCUGUGCAAAGUGUGUGAGCCGGAGGUGACUCCACUCCCCAUUCCCACAUCCAUACCUGGCUGAGGUGGAGAGUUGGAAUGAGAGUACAGAGUACAGAGUGAGUCAGAGGAGUGGGUUUGGUUCCUGUGGGGCCUGCUUGGGCAUACACUCAGACCACCCAUCAGGAUUGCUUUGUGCGGUCUAGUCUGCAUGCUUCUUUUCCUCUCUGCAGCAUGUCAGUCUCCUUGCAUGUGAAGCCAAUCGCUCGGCUGUUGUAGGCGUUUACAUUUCCACCUGACAGAUGCCUGGUGGAACAGUGGCAUGUUGUAAAAACAUCUGAUCCUUUAGCUGCAGGCUACAGAUACUGCUAAUUGAAAAAUGACCUCCCUCGAGUCAUGAACGCCUAUUACAAUAUUAUUGUUGCACAGUGCAAUCACAUUCUAUAAUUUCUCAAGACUUGGCUGCUUUGCCUCGUUUCACUGACAUUCCUCCUCUGUCCACUCGAGCGUAUAAUCACAACAUAUUUAUUGAUUAGAGGACAAACAGUAGCUAGCUCAACUGGACGGUAUCCUUUGUUUUAUUCCUAUUCAGCAUGGUGGCAGCAGUACUUCUCCCAGGUAGCUAGAUGACAGCCAGCCACAGCUAAAGCAGGCCUUUUCUCCAGCAUGGCUCUGCUGUCUCUGCCCUAAUUGAUUGGAAGGGGAAAGGCAGAACAGCUGCCCCAAAGCGCACAGCCAGAAUUAAAACUUCAAUCCCACUGCCGAACACUCAAUUUCAUCCAUGAUCCAGCAUUAUACAAAUGAGUUGAGAACAGACAGACAGGUGUAUGGUUCCCCAGUAGGGUCCCUGGGCACACUGGCCUCAGAACCACAAACUGCUCCCCUCUCUCUCCCAGCAGCACCAGGUCCUCUGUGCUCCCUAUGUGCUCCCUCUGUGCUCCCUACCUUCCUCCAGACAGCCUCCAGCCAAAACUACAACAGGCCAAUUCUAGUUUUUAGGGGAUCAAUUCACAGCACUUUUCAUUUAGGUAAGAAUCAACAAGAGGGUGUAACACUUAAAUCAUCAUCAGCCCAGUAGCUUUGCCUGCCAUUUCUGGGCCCUCUUCCACACACAUACAUUAACCAGAAUAUGCUAUAAAAUGUGUAGAAAUACUAGCCCACCAGUAAGCAGUAAGAACACGCAUAACUUUCACAGAGGACAACAAAGGAGAUGGAUAUGCAAAAGCUCAGAAUAUGUUAGAAAGUCACUGGGAUAGUUAUAGUUUUACACGACCAGUUUUAAAUUACAACUGUUUUUAAAGGUGAUAUUAGAUACAACAGAUACAUUAAGAGUGAAUUGUGUCAAAAUAACACAAAGUAACUUAUGUUUUUGACUGCUCUGGGCCUUUAAAAAUUUAUUGUCCUGUGUUUUAUAUAUAUUUCCACACUGAGGUUGGAAUAAUAGUGUGAAAUUGUGACAAUUAUGAUAAUGCCCUUUUAGUGUAAGCUGUUUGAAAAGACUGCCUGAAAUUGAAUCAUGUUUUGGUGGGAUGGCAUUUUGGCCUGCCUGCUAACAUCACCAGGCGGUAAAUUAGUUAAUAGACCAAUAAGAAAGAGAGUUCCAAACCUCUCUGCCAAACCUCUCUCUCUCUCCCACCCAGACCACUCCCAGACAGUCCUAACAAAAUUCUUGCUUGAGAAAUUUCUCUUUGCGAAGAAGCCAUUUUUGUUUAUUUUUGACCAUUUUAAUUUAAAACAAAUCACAGUAAGGUACUUAAUUGUUACCCAGGAAGGAUUUGAUAUUGAGAUAAAAAUGGCUGAAGUGGACCUUUAAGAAUCAUAACACAAUUCAGAAAUACAUUUGUAAAAAUCAACACAUUAUUGCAUCAACAUAAGCUAGACAGUGUACUGUACAGUUCAGCCAGUAGUCCAUAAAGAAGCAAUAUGUUUGCAUAAUAGUGACAUUUCUUCUGACUGUAUUAAGGAAUCUUGAUAGUUGCACAUGUGGCCUUUUCAGUGGCGAGAUGACUGGACACAUUCUUCUGAGUGCGGUGGGUCCAUGCAGCGGGCAGCCAGGCAAGGGUGAACAGAGUAGGAUCUUCACUACUAGGGCCAACACAGGCCGACUGUGUUCUCUUUUUGACUGGACGAUUGUCCUGCAUGGGACACAAGGAUCAGCCAAUCACUUAGAACCACUUUUUUUGUUCAGCUGCAACAACAAACACCAUCUUUUGACUUACUGGUUUGUACUGGUUAUAGUACAGUUGUCCAGAGGGGUUGAAACCUUUUGUGUAAGGAUUGGGAUACACACAAUGGUUUCUCAACAUAACAAGAAAACGUCUGAGUUAUUAAAUAUUGUAUCAUUGUUCCCACUUGAAAACCUGAUCAUGUACGGCAAAUGCUUUACCUAAUGAAACAUUUGUUAACAUUCUUAAAUGGACUCAUUAAAAUGUGUGAGUGUAAUCAUGCAUAAACAAAAGAAGAAGUGAAAGCUUCCCUCCACAGUUGUCCUCAUGUUGACAUAGAACUGAGUGCUCGGCGAAAUCGGCUUGUCAGGGGCCUUGUGUAGCGUGUGACAAGAAUCUUUGUAGUCAACAGAUCAUACUCAGACCCCAGCGCUACUUGCUUUCUGGUGCUGCAUACAAACUGAAUGAAUGGGAACCGGCUAGUCCCUUACUCCAAACAUUCAUCACAACUGUGCCAAACUGGGCCCAGGAUACAGAGCUCUGAAAUACAUCUUUGUCCCAAUGUUUUACAUUUCAAAAUUCACAAAAGUCAAUAAAACAAAGAUGGCCAUCCAUCUCAUAGGAGCCUGAGAUAACCUAUAAAGUCAUCACAACAACAUUUACCAACACCUAUUGUACUGUUGAAUAAACAUAAACCAUAAUCAUAUUCAAGCAAUAUGUAUUAUAUCAUACACUACACAAAAAUAGAUUAUGGCUACAUUGCAAACCCAGUAAAAAGCAUAUAAAAGGAUUCAUGUAUACAUUUCACUAAAUUAUGCUACAAAUGUAUUUUUAUCCUUAUUCUGAGUGGUUGACUAUUUAAUUUAAAAAAAUCAUAUUUGACUAUGAUCCUGCUUUUAUUGUGUUUAGUAAAGUUGAGUUGUUCACAGUGAUUCAUAAAAACAGUUUUAUAAAUAGAGAAGAGUAUCUGAGAGGGAAGUUGACUAAUUCAAUCUAGUAAUUAAUGGUGAUUUUUAAUCACCAUGGGUUUGGUGAUUAAUAGAGUGAUUGGUACCGUACAGCAGUAUCAGGGGUUCACUUCAAACGUGCUCGUCUACCAGAUCACUACAUGUCUGGGGACACCAACCUGUUCCAACACAGAACAACCAUGUCUUCACUGGACAACCUCUCUGCCUUUUCCUCUUAUAAUAUAUACUGUAUAUUCCUAAUACUGUGUUGCACCCCCCCAUUUUGCCCUCAGAACAGCCUCAAUUUGUCAGGACAUGGACUCUACAAGUUGUCAAAAGCGUUCCUCAUGGAUGCUGGCCCAUGUUGACGCUAAUGCUUCCCACGGUUGUGUCAAGUUGUCUAGAUGUCCUUUGGGUGGUGGACCAUUCUUGAUACACACGGGAAACUGUUGAGCGUGAAAAACCCAGCAGCGUUGCAGUUCUUGACACAAACCGGUGCGCCUGGCACCUACUGUACUAUCAUACCCCAUUCAAAGGCACUUAAAAAUGUUGUCUUGCCCAUUCACCCUCUGAAUGGCACACAUGCACCAUCCAUGUCUCAGUUGUCUUAAGGCUUAAAAAUCCUUCUUAAACCUGUCUCCUCCCCUUCAUCUACACUGAUGGAAGUGGAUUUAACAAGUGACAUCAAUAAGGGAUCAAAGCUUUCACCUGGUCAGUCUAUGUCAUGGAAAGAGCAGGUGUUGUUAAUGUUUUGUACUCAGUGUAUAUCGCUCUCCAUCUCUCUGCCACACAAUCAGAGAUGAUUUCCCAGUUGAGACUGGGCCUUUGAAAGUGAUGACUAAAGAGAACUGGAGCCUGCCAGGCCGUGUUUUUGGAUACUUGGGGACUGGGUUCUAGCGCGGGCCAAGCCAAGAUUAUAAAGAAUGAGCACAGGGGAGAAAAUUAAAUGGCACAUGGCAUAAGGCCACACAAGCACCUCGGCCCUCUGCUCAUCCCAUUCCCAGCAAUCUAUGAUGGAAAUGGAGGGAGAGUUUUUUUUCUUCUCUCACGCCACUUGUGUCCAAGCUGCUCUUGGAAUAAUAUUUAAAUAACCAUAAUAUUUAAAUGAAAUUCUGCUUCUUGUAUUUUUUCUAGAGUUCUAAUUUUUUAGAAAGCUUAUACACGGUCACUAUUUUUAUAGCCAUCUGUGUUAAUCAGGGUAGGCUCUAAUUAUCACCGACCGAAAAAACAACAGACCAUCAAAUAUUAUGGUAAGUCAAACCUUCUUUUUUUUUUUAUGUCAUCCAUUAUAUUUUUGGGACCUAAUAAUGUUCGAUUGGUUGUCCUUUACGAUUGACUUUUUAAAAUAAAGCUUUGGUUAGCAAGCGUUUAAGCAUGAAGAACAAGACCCUCUUGAAUUGAAUGAAGCCGGGAGGGAUUAAAUACAUUUCCUGUUCCUAAUCUGGAAAUUAGCCCUCGAAUGCCAGUGGGAAAAGACAGGCACUUUUCUUGGGGAUUUUUAACCAUUUGAAGGAAACAAUGUGACCGAGACAUGGAACCCGGAACCCAGAGGCCUGGUUGGUUGGGGCUGGGGUUGGGAACAGAACAGAGCAGACAAGGACAGACCAGGACAGAACUUUCAGGUCCAUUAGAGUGGAAUGUGGCUGGGGGUUGGUAUGAGAUAAAACAUGCAGGGGAAAGAGCCUGCCAUCCUUCCCCCCUCAUUGAGCGACCGCGUCCUUGAGGUCCCAUUCAUGGAAUCCCACUAAUGAGAGUGGAAAUGUCAGCUAUGAUACACUCAGAGGAUAGAAGGGAAACAGAGCGCCACACAAAGCUCUUUUAUGAGGCCUGCCUUCUAUUUCCUCUGCACUUGUUUUCCAACUCUUUUAUAACUUGAUUAGUGGGCCCUUUCACACAUUCUCACAUGCAGAAAGAGAGCUAUUUGCUUAUAGAUUAUUUUUAGUAAAGCACAGACUGCCCUCAUUGUAUUGGGUGGUGGUAAUGGUGGUAGUGGUGGUGAUGGUGGUGUAGGGGUUGUAUGGUUAGGGGAUUGGAAUUGAUUGCCUAUCUGAAUGGUGUCUUCCAGUUGGGAAAACACAGACUCUAUAAUGCAUGCUUGGCUGGUCUGUGACAGUGGUGCUUCUACUUUCUUAACAGAGGACCACUGAUGGGGGAGGGCACAGCAAUGACAAUAAUUAUACUGAGAGAGCACAGUUAGUUGAAAGCUAAAAGUGACAUGAAGCUGGUGUGGCUGUUGGGCACACAUGAUGAGCAAGAGCCCACUGGUCUUCAUGUUGUCAUCUCCACUGAAGCAGCUGACCUUGUAGUGCCAAAGAGUAAGAGUAAUGUGUUCCUUGAACUGAUCUGAGAGCCAAAGGACUGGCUGUACACAUGGCAAAGUAGGUUACAUAGUUAAUUAAGAAAACUUGGCUCUAAAUCCGCUAAGUCAAGUUACCCCCCAUAGAGACAGUGGAAAUAACAUUGGGAGAUAGGAAAUCACUAAAUCCUGUGUAAAAUUAUAAAAAGAUGGACCUGUCAAAAACGGAGUCUGGCGCCUACGAGAAUGGCAUUAGAUAAAUUAACCUCCACACGACUCCAGAAGGGGAUGUGUGGUUAGGACAGCCAGCUCUACAUACUAGAGGGGGGGAGUAAGAGAGUGAGAGAGAGAGAGUGAGACACAGAGAGAGAUUUCCUGGGUUAGCAGGUAAUAGAAUAUCCUUGCAAGGUUUCUGGAUUACAAAGAGAGAGAUGAUCUCAGGUGUGAGGCCCCUUCUCCAUGAAUCUGAUCAAUCAUACUCAGACAGUUCCCCCAGGACAGAAUCGUAAGGAUAUUACACCUGUCUCAUUACCACACUCUUCAACACAGUCUAACCGUCAGGCUGCCUGGGAGUAAAGAGAGAGAGAGAGACAGUGUCAUCUCCACUUUUAUCCAUUUCACUGCCACUGUUUUCUCACAGAAAUAAAUCUACAAUUAUUACUAUCAUUACUGUGUUUUUGCUCCAUUUUAAAUGACUAAUAAUUGUACUUUUCAGAAGUGAUGGUGAACCAUGAGCGGUGCCAAAAACCAUGGUCUAUAAUUUAUAACAUGUCAAUAAAUAAUUCACAACAUAACCAUA